UGAGGAAGAGAGCUAUGGGAAAUGACAUAUAUAUAGAGAAAUUUUCGAGUUGGGUAGUUGAAAUAUAACAACGAUUUUACAAGGAAUGUUUUACAUGGUUUUAACAUAAUAUUUACAACGACUUUACGACGAAAUUAGGUAAGCUAAAGCACAUUGAAUACACAUUUUCACCUAAAUAUAACGGUAACAUGUUUCGUUGUAAUGUCGAUGUAAUGAUUACGACGUAUUUCUCAUUCC
RNAcentral lists this long non-coding RNA (237 nucleotides) under Brassica napus (rape). RNAcentral describes it as "long non-coding RNA (BNAP_LNC020052)". The record is from RNAcentral. Lineage: Eukaryota; Viridiplantae; Streptophyta; Magnoliopsida; Brassicales; Brassicaceae.